CCUACGGGAGGCAGCAGUGAGGAAUAUUGGUCAAUGGACGCAAGUCUGAACCAGCCAUGCCGCGUGCAGGAAGACGGCUCUAUGAGUUGUAAACUGCUUUUGUACGAGGGUAAACGCAGAUACGCGUAUCUGUCUGAAAGUAUCUUACGAAUAAGGAUCGGCUAACUCCGUGCCAGCAGCCGCGGUAAUACGGAGGAUUCAAGCGUUAUCCGGAUUUAUUGGGUUUAAAGGGAGCGUAGGCGGUCGGAUAAGUUAGUGGUGAAAGCCCGCGGCUCAACUUCGGAAUUGCCUCUGAUACUGUCAGGCUAGAGAGUAGUUGCGGUAGGCGGAAUGUAUGGUGUAGCGGUGAAAUGCUUAGAGAUCACACAGAACACCGAUUGCGAAGGCAGCUUACCAAGCUACUUCUGACGUUGAGGCACGAAAGCGUGGGGAGCAAACAGGAUUAGAUACCCCAGUAGUC
This 460-nucleotide ribosomal RNA is filed under the name uncultured bacterium. Its description in RNAcentral is "partial 16S ribosomal RNA". It matches the Rfam family "Bacterial small subunit ribosomal RNA", at positions 338 to 795 of the family's 1533-position model. The record is from RNAcentral.